UUCAACUCUGUGAGUUGAAAGCAAACAUCACAAAGAAGUUUCUGAGAAUGCUUCUGUUUAGCUUUUCUGUGAAGAUUAUCCCGUUUCCAACGAAAUCUUCAAAGAGGCCCAAACAUCCACUUGCAGAUGCCACAGAAAGAGUGUUUGGAAACUGCUGUUUGAAAAGGAACCUUCAACUCUGUGAAUUGAAUGCAGUCAUCACAAACAAGUUUCUGACAAUGCUUCUCUCUAGUUUUUACGUGACGAUAAUUCGUUUUCCACCACAGGCCUGAAAUCUCUCCAAAUGUCCACUUGCAGACCCUACGAAAAGCAUGUUUCUCAUCUGCUCUAUGAAAAGCAACGUGAAACUCUGUGAGUUGAACACAAACAUCACAGAGAAGUUUCUGAGAAUGCUUCUGUUUAGUUUUUAUGUGAAGAUAUUCCCGUUUCCAAAGACAACUUCUAAGAGGACCACAUAUCCACUUGCAGAUUCCACAAAAAGAGAGAUUCAAAACUGCUCUAUCCAUAGGAGGGUUCAACGCUAUGAGUUGAAUGCAAUCAUCACAGAGAAGUUUCUGAGAAGGCU
This 565-nucleotide long non-coding RNA is filed under the name Homo sapiens (human). RNAcentral's name for it is "HSALNT0389124". Lineage: Eukaryota; Metazoa; Chordata; Mammalia; Primates; Hominidae. The record is from RNAcentral.